GACGAACGCUGGCGGCGUGCUUAACACAUGCAAGUCGAACGGAAAGGCCUGCUUUCCCUUGUGGAUUGCGGGUACUCGAGUGGCGAACGGGUGAGUAACACGUGAGUGAUCUGCCCCCAACUUGGGUAUAAGCCUGGGAAACUGGGUCUAAUUCCCGAUAGGACUGCAGGGUGGUGCCUGUGGUGGAAAACGAUUUUCUAGUGGUUGGGGAUGAGCUCGCGGCCUAUCAGCUUGUUGGUGGGGUAAUGGCCUACCAAGGCGGCGACGGGUAGCCGGCCUGGGAGGGUGGACGGCGACAUUGGGACUGGGAUACGGCCCAGACUCCUACGGGAGGCAGCAGUGGGGAAUAUGGCACAAUGGGCGGAAGCCUGAUGCAGCGACGCCGCGUGGGGGAUGACGGCCUUCGGGUUGUAAACUCCUUUCGACCGCGAGGAAGCCACCUGGUUGGAAGGGUGGUGACGGUAGUGGGAGAAGAAGCACCGGCUAACUACGUG
This 494-nucleotide ribosomal RNA is filed under the name uncultured bacterium. RNAcentral describes it as "partial 16S ribosomal RNA". It matches the Rfam family "Bacterial small subunit ribosomal RNA", at positions 28 to 507 of the family's 1533-position model. The record is from RNAcentral.